This is a non-coding RNA of Cyanistes caeruleus (blue tit), 358 nucleotides long. Lineage: Eukaryota; Metazoa; Chordata; Aves; Passeriformes; Paridae. The record is from RefSeq and is a predicted model, not a curated record.
CCAAAAGUGCUGGUGCCAGCUGUGCUGCCCGUGGCAGAGGAGACAGAUGCACCCAAAAAGGAGCCCGUGGCUGCUGCUGCUCACCUUCCCACAAGCCUUGCUCUUGCCCUCAGCCCUGGGGGACCCUGGCUCUAGCCUGCAAUGAAACCAAAAAGGGAUGCCAGUCUUGAAUUCCUAGAAAAUCCAAUCAAAUCAGAAAGACCAGUGCAAGGAGACUCAGCUAGCGCCCAGCCUGACACAUCUGGGAGCGACUGCUCUAGGGAGGCUGUGGGCAUCUGAGAGAAGCAGAGCUGCCUGUGCCGCUCUGCCCUGCUCCACGGCCGUGGGGUGUGCAGGGCUCUCUGAGGCCAGACCUGGC